RNAcentral lists this small nuclear RNA (24 nucleotides) under Arabidopsis thaliana (thale cress). RNAcentral's name for it is "snRNA_15820". The record is from RNAcentral. Lineage: Eukaryota; Viridiplantae; Streptophyta; Magnoliopsida; Brassicales; Brassicaceae.
UCGAGAUUCUCCGUUCUCUCUUCU